CAAUAGAAAGCGAGCUCACGCAGCGCGGCCCGCCCACCUCCCGCGAGGCCCCGCCCUCAGCGCGGCGGCCCUCCCAGUGAAGCCGGCGGCUCUCUGCGCAUGCGCCGCAUCGUUUCGCGCCUGCGCGCUGGGACUUGGGGGCUGGGCCAGGGGUCAGGACGGCCGGGUCCUUGGGGGAGGUGAGGCCGAGGGCGAGGGGGGGGACGGGGGGACCGGGGGGGGCUGAGGGGGACAGGGGGCCCUUAGGGGGGCCGGAGGAGCCAGGGGCCUUUGGGCGUUUUGGGGGGGUCGAAAUCAGGGCCGCUUGGGUGGGUUUUGGGGAUUUUGGGGGUGGGGGAGGCGAAAUUUGGGCCCCUUGGGUGGGUUUUUGGGGUGAGGGGGCGAAAUUUGGGCCUUUUGGGUGGGUUUUGGGGAGGGGGGGGGCGAAAUCCGGGCCCCUUGGGUGGGUUUUGGGGAUUUUGGGGGUGGAGGGGGUGAAAUCAGGGCCCCUUGGGUGGGUUUUGGGGUGUGUGGGGGUGAAAUCUGGGCCCCUUGGGUGUUAUUUUUUGGGGGAGGGGCGAAAUUUGGGCCCCUUGGGUGGGUUUUGGGGUGGAGGGGGCAAAAUUUGGGCCCCUUGGGUGUUUUUUUGGGGGGGAGGGGCGAAAUUUGGGCCCCUUGGGUGUUAUUUUUUUUGAGGGGGGGGGGAAAUGUGGGUCCCUUGGGUGGGUUUUGGGGUGUGGGGGGGUGAAAUCUGGGUCUCUUGGGUGGGUUUUGGGGUGGGGAGGGCGAAAUUUGGGCCCCUUGGGUGGGUUUGGGGGUUUUUGGGGUGUGGGGGGGGUGAAAUCUGGGCCCCUUGGGUGUUAUUUUUUUGGGGGGGAGGAGAAAUCUGGGCCCCUUGGGUGGGUUUGGGGGAGGGGGGGGCAAAAUCUGGGCCCCUUGGGUGCUUUUUUUUUUGAGGGGGGGCGAAAUGUGGGUCCCUUGGGUGGGUUUUGGGGUGGGGGUACAUGUGUCAAUUAACCAGGGGGGCCAGAAGGGCCGUGUCCCGUGUGGUGCUGGGGAUUUUGGGGGCGUUGGGGGCGCCCAGGACACCCCCGUCCUUCAUGGGGGCGAGGGGGGGCUGCCCCCAGCAGCCAGCCCAGCCCCUGUGUGCCCCCCCCACGACCCCCAGCACUCGGAUCCUGCGCCCCCCCCCAGGCAGGAGCGGUCAUGGCAGCGCUGCGCCUGCUGCACCGGGCUGCCCGCGCAGGUGAGCAUCCACCCCGCUCCCCCCACCCCAAAACCAGCCCCAUUAUCCCCCCCCCUCACCCAUUUUCCCCUUUCUCUGCCCCCUCCCAGGCCCGCUGCCCGCCCCGUGCUACCUGCGCCCGCUCAGCACCACCACCCCCAGGGACUGCUACAAGUACGUCAACAUCCAGGAGCCGGCCAUGGACAUGAAAUCCAUCACCGACCGCGCCGCCCAGACCCUGCUGUGGACGGAGCUCUUCCGAGGCCUGGCCAUGACGCUGAGCUACCUCUUCCGUGA
RNAcentral lists this long non-coding RNA (1501 nucleotides) under Anas platyrhynchos (mallard). Its description in RNAcentral is "lncRNA (ENSAPLG00020004265.1)". Lineage: Eukaryota; Metazoa; Chordata; Aves; Anseriformes; Anatidae. The record is from RNAcentral.